UUACAUAUUUAUUUUAUUUUAUUUUUUUUACUUACAGCAGUUCUGUCGCUGGCAAUAGCGCAGAACAGCAAGACAAGUGUCGAAGGUGUCAGCAAGUACAUCAAGGCAUCACUUUUACACUGACAUUAGAGGCUUUGGUAGACGAUAACUGCUGUGACUCUCAGUGCAAGUUGGCGGGAGUGUGGGGUAACUUUGAAAACUGGAACUACGAAGCCGGGGCGCUGAACACUGCUGCGACUAUGCGUGACGAAGCCACCCAGCAGAGUACACCAUAUGCUCCUCCAACAGUCAUCAUGUCUUGAGUGGUGUGCCAGUGUGAUCCUAACAUCUUUAGUGGCACUGCUAACCAUGACAUGGAGGAUUGAUUAUUUUUGUACAAAAUGGUCAAUAUAGCAAGUGGAACAAUUCUACCAAGCAAAGCAUUGCUAAGAGUGGGAGUGUGCCCCAGCCAUGCGCAUUGUCUUCCAGACAUAGAACAAAUAGCAACAGAAAACAAAGAAAAAAAUCCUGGCAAAACCAACCUCGGAUCGAGAUCUUGUUAAGUGAUAGCUUGUGCAUUAUGCACGCUGCAAAGACUCUUUGUCCUCAUUGUGGUUGCCCAUGUGCAUGCUUAUGUUAGAAGCCGGGCACCUGUUAGCUGCAGUCACAUGUUUUGUGGCAUUAGGCCUGCAUGGGUACUGAAAUGGUAGGACAGUACACUGGGGCAUUAAACUCAAGUGGCAAUGAAGUUUUUAGCACUCUUGGGUUCAGGCAAAUGUCUCCUUCCCAAAGAAUGCACAGAAGCCAAGAAGAGCUAUUCUAUUCUAAAGUAAAGCUCUCCACAUGGAAAAAUGUCUCACCACAUUUGUUGUUACAAUAAAAUUUUGGUUUCUGCCCACUGCCUUGGAUUAAGCUCUCCUUGAGAGCCCAUGCCAUCAUUCAUACUGAAUACUGACUGAUUUAUCACUAAUUUCCUACCCUUUCAAUGAGUGUCCUUAUUGAUAAACUAAUUUCAAAUCUCCCUAACAAAAACCACUCUGUACUUCAGCAGCUAGCUUUCCAGUUUUCUUCAAGUAGGUAAUUGUAAAUGUUAGAAGUGUAUGGAAUGCAACCAAGUGAGGCACACAUCUCUCCAGAUUUGCCCCAUAAGUU
Long non-coding RNA from Dermacentor silvarum, 1131 nucleotides. RefSeq lists it as uncharacterized. The record is from RefSeq and is a predicted model, not a curated record. NCBI's taxonomy places the organism in Eukaryota, Metazoa, Arthropoda, Arachnida, Ixodida, Ixodidae. The transcript is spliced from 3 exons.